This is a long non-coding RNA of Vombatus ursinus (common wombat), 1464 nucleotides long. RefSeq lists it as uncharacterized. The record is from RefSeq and is a predicted model, not a curated record. The transcript is spliced from 5 exons. NCBI's taxonomy places the organism in Eukaryota, Metazoa, Chordata, Mammalia, Diprotodontia, Vombatidae.
CGUGGGCAGGGCGCACCUGGCAGCCCCACCCCCCCUUCCUCCGUCCCUCCUGGUGAGAAGCCGUCAGGCGGAGGGAGCCCAGCAUCCUGGACCCUCACAGCUGGAGGGGCCUCAGAGGCCACCUAGCCCAGCCCCUGGUUUUACAGAGGGGGAAACUGAGGCCCACUGAGCCAAAGUGACUCGCGCAAGGUCACACAGAUCAUAGGUUUUCUGCUAAAACCAAAGAAUGAAGGCACGAUUGGGGCUGUUCAAAGUGCACGGUCUAUUCCUUAGUCUCAUCGAUCGCUAGAAUUCUCCUUAAAUAAGCGCAGGACAAGGGAGAAGAUUGACUUCACUGAAGGGGACGCCUAAUUUAGACAUCUUAGGGCAGGAGAGAAGCAGCUGCAACACACCUACCUUCGUGAAUCGGCUGAAGUUUGUGGACCAUUUGUCACAUGUCACACAACGGGAGCAAAAGUCUAGACUCUCUUAACCUAAUUCUCUUGGAAAAUACCCCUAACCGUGAGAUGGGAAGAAGCAGACCUACACAAGGGCCUCCAUCUAGAGGCAGGAGACUUUGGAAAUCUUCACUGAACAAAGUACUCUAAGAAAAUUUGAGGGAGCAGUUACUCUCAAGAAUUUGAAUUUUACCCUCUGGCCAAGAGGGAGCCACUGAAGGGUGUGUGAUCCAGGUCUUUGUGUAUGGAUCUGGAUUUCAAGGAAAACGACGACGGACUGGACCAGACACAGACUCACAGAAGAGACCUCUGAGGUUACAUGCUCCAUGAAUCCCCUCUACCCGAUGGUUAUCCAGUCUUUGCUUGCAGAGCCUUCAGUGAUAAGAAACCUACUACAGCUCCUGAGGCAGAGCAUUCUACUUUUGAACCACUGUAAUUAUUACAAAAAAUGUCCUGAGAGCAAAUUAAAACCUGCAUCUCAGCAGCAUCUACCCAUUGUUUUCAAUUCUGAUCUGUAAAGUCAAGCAAAACAAGCUUCUUCCUUCUUCAGCGUGACAGUCCCUCAGAUCCUGAAGAUGACUAUCAUGUUCCCCCUCUAAGCCUUUCAUCAUUUGGGAUAAAUGUCCCCUUAUGCAGGAUGAUCUCAAGGCCCUUCACCAUCCUUUUCACUUUCCUCUGCAUAUCUCAGUUGGUUAAUAUUCUUCCUAAAGUUUGGUGUCCAGAACUGAACACGGCAGUCUCUAUUGGGCCCAUCACCUUCCUUGUUCUGGACACUAUGCCUGCAUUAAUGGAUCAUGACAGUUUUUUGGUUGCCAUAUUACACUGUUGACUCAUACUGAAUUUUUGUCCACCAAAAUGCCCUGAUCUUUGCCACGUACCUCCCCCAUCUUAUACGUGUAAAGCUUACUACAGUAACUCAAAUGAAAGACUUAAAUCAGUUGUGGUGUUAUAGGGAAUGGAAAGGAAGGAAUGAAUGCAUAAGUCAUUAGAAAGUAGUAAGUGGCCGGGCUUUUUUUAAAACUGAAUU